AGUGUCCUUGCCAAAGCUGACCCUCU
RNAcentral lists this unclassified non-coding RNA (26 nucleotides) under Mus musculus (house mouse). RNAcentral's name for it is "oocyte_clustered_small_RNA6270". Lineage: Eukaryota; Metazoa; Chordata; Mammalia; Rodentia; Muridae. The record is from RNAcentral.